CAACCAUUUUGGGCAUCAAAAGGAUGGGAUAUGCGGUCAAUCCUACAUAUGUUGGGAGGAUUAGAUAUCUGAAUCCUGAAUGUUUAAAUGAUUUAGAUAGCAUUUCACGGAUGAAUCAUCCUUCAGAUAUAGCAAGAAGCAAUGCUGUAAUCAUUGGCUCAAGUACUUGACUUGUAGUGUUGAAGACAAGAGCGCAUAUCCAAGGGAAGGAAGCAUUUAGUACGCCGCAAUAUCCGUGAUAAAAGUUGGUGGCAAAUUUCCUGUCAGUCCAAAAACAAUGCCUUCUGCAUUGUAGAAGAUUCGUGCUUUUCAACGUAAUAUGUCGGACUUGGGAGGAAAAAAUAGAUUUUGUCCACUUCCUCGUGCUCCCCUCAAGAAUACAAAUUCACAGC
RNAcentral lists this long non-coding RNA (392 nucleotides) under Elaeis guineensis (African oil palm). RNAcentral's name for it is "long non-coding RNA (EGUI_LNC019092)". The record is from RNAcentral. Lineage: Eukaryota; Viridiplantae; Streptophyta; Magnoliopsida; Arecales; Arecaceae.